This is a long non-coding RNA of Macrobrachium nipponense, 700 nucleotides long. RefSeq lists it as uncharacterized. The record is from RefSeq and is a predicted model, not a curated record. The transcript has 3 exons. Lineage: Eukaryota; Metazoa; Arthropoda; Malacostraca; Decapoda; Palaemonidae.
UCAAGUAUUCUGCGCUUCUAGUACCAGCUAGUCUACUUGUAACAUGCUUAGUGCCAAUACCUGUAUUCACAAAGGUCUACCAACUGGUGUGUAGUCUAACAGUGUGAUGGCCCCUGACGGCCCCUGACGGAAGGACAAUUGACCUGGUCGGGCACUUCCACUUCGUGUGGCACUAGCUAGAUCAAGAGAUUUCGUAUCUGAUGCAACCGUAGCAUCAUCACGACAUCAGUAAGGAUGUUUAAGGCCUUCCUGAGAACCUGGGAUUUGACUAUGCUGACACACAAGACGAAUGAUGGCGUCCAACAACAAAAUUUAACACAAGUGAAGCCGGGAGUGCUACCUUUCGAAGGACGGUGUGAAGAAUCAAAAGGCCGUCUAGAUCCCCAGGAGUAACUUGGAAUUUUCAUCCAUAUACCGUAUGUUUACCCUAAGCAUACCAUCAACCGUCAGCAGAUAUUGAAGUUUUAAUGUGGACCAUAGACAGACGAGGAGGAAAAAACACGGGCUAUCUUCCAACACCCUCGAUCCUCAACACGGGUGUUCACUGGAAAGAGCUUGGUCUACAAAAAUUUAACAACUUUGGACUUGGACUAGUUGGCUUUGAGUGUACAGCAGGCUCAACAAUCAAAUUACUUGUAAUUUGGUACAAAAUCUUUAAAUGCGUCAUAUAAAUAUUCAAAUUACAAAAUCUUUAGAUCAU